This 466-nucleotide ribosomal RNA is filed under the name uncultured bacterium. Its description in RNAcentral is "partial 16S ribosomal RNA". The stretch from base 49 to 466 matches the Rfam family "Bacterial small subunit ribosomal RNA", at positions 39 to 507 of the family's 1533-position model. The record is from RNAcentral.
GGGGGGGGGGGGGGGGGGGGGGGGCGGGGGGGGGGGGGGGGGGGGAGCGCGGGGGGCGGGGGGGAGUAGUGGCGAACGGGGGAGUAACAGGGGAGUGACGGGCCCUUGACGCUGGGAUGGGCGUGGGACGCUGGGUCUAAUGCUGGAUACGCCUUCGCGUCGCAUGGUGGGUGUGGGACCGUUUUAUUGGUUUUGGAUGGACUCGCGGCCUAUCAGCUUGUUGGUGAGGUAAGGGCUCACCAAGGCGACGACGGGUAGCCGGCCUGAGAGGGUGACCGGCCACACUGGGACUGAGACACGGCCCAGACUCCUACGGGAGGCAGCAGUGGGGAAUAUUGCACAAUGGGCGCGAGCCUGAUGCAGCGACGCCGCGUGAGGGAUGACGGCCUUCGGGUUGUAAACCUCUUUCAGUAGGGAAGAAGCGAGAGUGACGGUACCUGCAGAAGAAGCGCCGGCUAACUACGUG